GACGAACGCUGGCGGCGUGCCUAAUACAUGCAAGUCGAGCGAAUCAGUAGGAGCUUGCUCCUAUUGGUUAGCGGCGGACGGGUGAGUAACACGUGGGCAACCUGCCUGUAAGACUGGGAUAACUUCGGGAAACCGGAGCUAAUACCGGAUAAUCCUUUUCCUCUCAUGAGGAAAAGCUGAAAGACGGUUUCGGCUGUCACUUACAGAUGGGCCCGCGGCGCAUUAGCAGUUGGUGAGGUAAUGGCUCACCAAGGCAACGAUGCGUAGCCGACCUGAGAGGGUGAUCGGCCACACUGGGACUGAGACACGGCCCAGACUCCUACGGGAGCAGCAGUAGGGAAUCUUCCACAAUGGACGAAAGUCUGAUGGAGCAACGCCGCGUGAGCGAUGAAGGCCUUCGGUCGUAA
This 407-nucleotide ribosomal RNA is filed under the name uncultured bacterium. RNAcentral describes it as "bacterial SSU rRNA". It matches the Rfam family "Bacterial small subunit ribosomal RNA", at positions 28 to 428 of the family's 1533-position model. The record is from RNAcentral.